This 467-nucleotide small RNA is filed under the name Pongo abelii (Sumatran orangutan). RNAcentral's name for it is "retained intron". Lineage: Eukaryota; Metazoa; Chordata; Mammalia; Primates; Hominidae. The record is from RNAcentral.
GCCAGCCCAUCAACCCGCACUCCCGCAUCUACCCCGAGGAGAUGAUUCAGACGGGCAUUUCUCCUAUUGACGUCAUGAACAGCAUUGCCCGCGGCCAGAAGAUCCCCAUCUUCUCAGCAGCCGGGCUCCCCCACAAUGAGAUUGCCGCUCAGAUCUGCCGCCAGGCGGGUCUGGUGAAGAAGUCCAAGGCUGUGCUGGAUUACCAUGACGACAACUUCGCCAUCGUCUUUGCAGCCAUGGGGGUGAACAUGGAGACAGCCAGAUUCUUCAAGUCUGACUUUGAGCAGAAUGGAACCAUGGGGAACGUCUGCCUCUUUCUGAACUUGGCCAACGACCCCACGUGAGCUUUCCCUGAUGCCCAAACUGCCCUCAGGUGGGCAGACCCCGUCCCCUUCCAAGACCUACAGUAUCAGGGCUCCAGGGCAUCCCAGAACUACAGCCAUAGGCCAGAGCUGGGAGAACAACCC